GUCAGCCGGAGAGCGGGUGCCGGGCUUGCUCGGCGACGGGCAAGCCCGAGGAAGCUCCGCCAAUCCGCGGGCCUGCGCCGCUGUAAGGCGGUGGGGGAGAUCCCCAGGCAACGGCUCAGAAACGGGACCUCUCCCCAUCCGUGAGUAUGAUGCGGUGGGGCCGUAGGGUCCCCGCAGGCUUCCCGGUAACGGGGAGCGAUCCGCUGAGGAGGUGGGGAGAUAGGUUGAAACGGCCGUCCCGCAGGGAGGGCCAAAUCGGGCCUAUGAGGUCCCGCGAGGAGGCCUGGGUAGGCCCAUAGAUGGAUCCCGCUUAGAAACAGAAGGCGGGCUACUACCGGCUGAC
This 343-nucleotide RNase P RNA is filed under the name Thermoprotei archaeon. RNAcentral describes it as "RNase P RNA component". It matches the Rfam family "Archaeal RNase P". From Rfam's summary of the family: Ribonuclease P (RNase P) is a ubiquitous endoribonuclease, found in archaea, bacteria and eukarya as well as chloroplasts and mitochondria. Its best characterised activity is the generation of mature 5'-ends of tRNAs by cleaving the 5'-leader elements of precursor-tRNAs. The record is from RNAcentral. Lineage: Archaea; Thermoproteati; Thermoproteota; Thermoprotei.